CGACGGAGCACACGCCGUUCAGACGUGUGCAGAACAUUUACCAAAACCAACCAGGGCUGCACCACGUGCAGCCACUGCAGAGUCCCCAGGACCGAGACCACUCGGUGUGUUUUCAACCACCAGGACAUUAAACAGGAAGUCAGUCAUGAAAAUAGACCCGUGAGAAACAGUCGCCUUGAAAUUAAACAAGAUACAAUCAUCAAGUCAGUCAAACAAGAAAUUGCAAUGGAAUUUAUAAAACGGACUUAGAGAAUGAAAAUACUGAGGGAAGAGAAAAGGAAAAGUCAGUGAGGCCGACAGCCAAGGCUGGUCUUUGGAGAAACAGCCUGAAAUGUCACAGCCACAGGCAGAGAGAGAGCUGCCAGGCAAAACCAAGCUGCGGCAGCACUGGUGAGUCGGGGGGAGGGAGGGCAGCAGAGAAGCCUUCGUUCUCCAGGUCAUCAGCCGGCUGCCAGGGAAAGUUUCCUCCCCUUUUCAGGCAUGAACACGGUGGGCUCCGAGGGAACCUGCAUGGGUUGUGGGAGGGGGUGGGGGCUUAUCCAAAACACACCCACAGCUGCACAAACAAGAGAGGCUGCGCUUUGUGCUCCCUAAAGACACACCCGCAGCGGCACAGAUAAGGAAGUCACAAGAACAGCGAAAGAGACCAGCGGACUUUCUUAUCAAAGCGUUUGGAUUCAACUGUGAAAAUGGCAGCCCACUCGGGCCCCCUCUCCGCCACAGAGAGCUUUUUUCUUUCACUUAUUAAACUUUCGCUGCAACUUCUCCCUGUGUCCACGCGCCUUAAUUUUCUGGGUUGUGAGACGAUGGACAACGAGCUCGGAUAACACCUUAGACAACGUGACCAGCAACCCUAGACCGUGUCGAUCCUACGUAUCAAAACUUGGGAGACUAAAACGGGGGUUAGAGGAAAAAUACAGCCUUGAAUACAAGAAAAAACCCAGAAAAACCUUGAUUUAAGCUUUGAUUUCAAGAAGCUGGACAACAACAUAAAUCAUAUCUAAGGACAGCAAAAGGCAGGUACGUCCCGGCCUGGCCUGCAUGGGGCGGGGGCCGCGGAAGAACCCUGCGCCCUCCACACGGGACUUGACGUCUGCUCUGCCCUGGCCCCUCCUCGCUGGAGCACCAUCAGCAGCAUUCAUGGAUGAGGACGCAGCUCACAGGAGGCCCUGCCGACCCUCGCUUCUGGUCCACACCCACCCGCUACCUGAGCAGGCCAAUGGAGGCUGGUUGCAUGCAGAGCCUCGAUUCCAUCAAUUCACUCGAGGCACGGGUGACUGGUGUUGGAGCCAGACUUGGGAUAGAAGCAGGAGCACCUACCGAGGGGCCCGCCUCCCAGUAGCAGUUCUGGGGCUACUACCAAUAAAGCUGCUGCCAACAUUCAUGUGCAAGGUAUCCACAGAUCCUGAUCCACAGACGUGAUGGGGGAGUAUCUGAUCCCUGUUAUUCCAUUUCAGCUAGAAGCAGAAGUCAGCUGGCUUGUAAGGUAAGUUACAGUGGGGUUUAUAUCCCGGUGGGAGUGACCCAGUGUGCACAGGAACCAGGACACCUGCUUACGUCUUGAAGUGACAAUAGGCCCUGGACGCUGUGAAGCCUCCCUUCUUCCUCAGCCAUGGCGCCCUGGGCCAGGCCAUAUAAGCCCUGGAUGCUGUGAAGCCUCCCUUCUUCCUCAGCUACGGCACCCUGGGCCAGGCCAUACGCUUCCAAGUAAUACGCAGUUUUUUGUUCUUCAUCUUUCUCGUUCUGGGCACGUAACCUUUAUAAGACAUAAGAAUGGAAUUUUAAAACAUUAUGUUAUUAUUACUAAAUGUUUAAUAUGUCAUUUUCUAUCAUACUGUAUAUUUUAUUAGUGCUUAAAAUGAUGUUUUAAAAUAGCUAACAUGUAAAGACAUCCUCGAUACGUCUUAGAGGUUUAAGAAGCUGGAAUAAUGCAGUAUGUACAGUGUAUUAUGGUUAUAAAAAUUAAGUGUGCGCUUGAAGGAGAUUUGCUGAAGCAAUUCCACAGCAUCAGCUUUACCCAGCGGGCUGGGUCUGAUCAGCUAACUGAACUUCUGCAAGGACAAUGUACGACAUCCACAGUAACAGACACGGCUCAGGCCAUCAUCCAUCUCUUUCAGUAGCAACGAGCACUCUGUGGGUUCAGUGACCGCUGAGUGCUGCGCAACUCUGACCCGCAGGCUCAGGCACCUGACGGAGGGACGGUUUGGGGCCUGGAGUCAGAAGCCCCAGGGCCGCGUCAGGGCUUGCGGCUGGGCUGCCGCUGUUCUCCCCGGUGUUCAUCCAGGGAUGCUCGGAGAAACGCUUUCGGAGCAUUUCUCGAAAAUCAACAUCAUAUGGGCCUCAUUCUGUGAUCGCAUGUGAUAAAAUCAGAAACUCACAAGCCCCACCCCAGGCACUGUAUCCAGGUGGAAAUUCAAAAACCCUCUCCUACUUGACUCACUAGUGGAACAGUAUCCAGGCGGAAAUUCAAAAACCCUCUCCUACUUGACUCACUAGUGGAACAGAAACCCAUGUUGAAGCGUUGGGCUGUUCACACGCUGCAGCUGGGGGGCCCAGGGCAAGGUCGGGAGGGAGGCAGAGAGCACAGGCAUGAGGCCGCCGCCCCGGAGCAGCCACAGCAGGGCCCUGGGCUGCCCUCGCGCCAAUGCAGGGAGCUCCACAAAGAUGAAGCAGAACACAAGGAAAGCCUGAGUCAGGCAGAAAUCCGUGUUGCUGGGGUCUGUAAACCAAAGCCAGCUCCUUGAAAAGGUCUGCUGCGUUGGAGCCUGUGAUUCUGAUUUAGAAGAGACGGCGUUGCCAUCCUGGCCAACAUGGUGAAACCCCAUCUCCACUAAAAAUACAAAAAUUAGCCGGGCAUGGUGGCACAUGCCUGUAAUCCCAGCAACUCGGGAGGCUGAGGCAGGAGAAUCACUUGAACCAGGGAGUCGGAGGUUGCGGUGAGCUGAGAUUGCACCACUGCACUCCAGCCUGGGCGUCGAUAAAUGGCAAUAAGGGAGGCGUGCCUGCCGCAAGGGUUUUGUGAAAGCUAUAAGAACACACUCCCUACAAAUUUAUACCGACACACCACAGACUUAGAGGAAAAGGUUUCCCAGGCCCUUCCCAAGGCCCUGAAGUUGACUUUCUAAGCCAAACAGACGGGACAUGUGGAUGGAAGGUCCACUUCUCAAAGAAAGUCUGAAGCAAGCUCAGGAAACUUCUGGAGCUUUCUGGAGCUGCACGGAAAGCUGUGGAUAUGUGGCCCCAUGACGUGGGUCUCUGAACUUGCAUAGACUUGACGUAUGGCACAAAAAUUGCAGAUGGAAAAGAGGAAACCACAGCUUUCACGCUAAUGAACAGUGUUUCUUACAAAGAGUUACCUGGCUUCUAGAUCUGUGAUCAUGAAUUCCAGUAAAGGCAAUCGGUUUGGUCUUUCUUUCUUGAG
This 3421-nucleotide long non-coding RNA is filed under the name Homo sapiens (human). Its description in RNAcentral is "HSALNT0170504". Lineage: Eukaryota; Metazoa; Chordata; Mammalia; Primates; Hominidae. The record is from RNAcentral.